RNAcentral lists this long non-coding RNA (2701 nucleotides) under Homo sapiens (human). RNAcentral describes it as "PREDICTED lncRNA (TCONS_00059258)". The record is from RNAcentral. Lineage: Eukaryota; Metazoa; Chordata; Mammalia; Primates; Hominidae.
UUCUGGCAGAACCACUUCUGGACCUGUCCCUCUGCACCCCCCAUUCCUGCGCCCUCAUUUAACCUCCCUGACUCUGACCUGGGCUUGGUCUAUCUUGGGGCCUGGCUGCCGUCCUGGGACGGGAAGGGGAGCAGAUCAGAACUCAGCCUGCGGCUCCAGGCCGCUGGGCGCUGGCUGGGCCUCACGUUCUCCUGGAAGGACCACCUCCCUUGCCCUCCACGGGGUCUGCCUUUGCUCCCAAGGCUCCGCCCUGGACGGAGCGUCCUUCUUGCCUGGGCGUCUUCAGACCUUCAUCUGUGACACCGGGGGCCAUGUGGCUCACCCCGAGGAAGAGACGAGGACUCGCUGUGUUGGCUGUUCUUGAGCUUCUGGGCUCAAGCAAUCCUCCCUCCUGAGCUUCCCAGAGUGCUAGGAUUACAGUGAAGACUAAGGGCCAAGCAUGAGCCUUUCUUCCUGCUCUUUUACCCUUGAGGCAGCAGGAGAGGAUAUUCACCUCCUGACAUGACAGAUUCUGACGCUAUCUGCUCCUCUGUGACUUUGGGAAGCGGGGUAUGUGCUGCUCCUGGGCUGAUGGGGGAAAGUGCCUCUCCCAGCAAUGCUGGUGCCACUUGGUGUGCUACGGCCCCCCAGGGCAGUGCGGAGCCAUCUGGGACAGUUAGACAAUGAGAGACGUGAAGCCAUUUCAAGGUGCUUCCUUGAAAAUGCUCCAGAAAAACAGCAGAGGCGGCCUCUCUGGGGAUCCGGUCCAGCCCUUGAAAAGAAUCUGUUUGUUUCACCACUGAACUCAAAUAAGCCAACAGAUUGAAGGAAGGGAGUUUCCACGCGCCCCUCCCCACCAAGCAGUUACCUGAGUUCCAGAGUCCAGUCCGAUGGAUCCCAUUUUACCCUGGUUUAAAUUGUUUCCUUAGAAAAAAAUAAACAGAACCUCUUCUCUCACUCUCCAGUGGAAAGUAUAGAAUCAAACGUAAAUGAAAAUGACAGUUUCUAACAUGCGCGACCUGGACACGCGGCUGAACUCCGAGCCUCAGCUGCAGAGUGGGGUCAAUGCACCUACCUUGCAGCGUCACUGUGAGGAUCCACACAACAGAAAUAAACUGCUUAGUGUGUAGUAGGAGCCUCAAAAAUGAUGAUUCAAAAGCACCAGCCUGUCACAUUCAUCCCCUGCUCAAAAACUCUCCCUGCCUUUCCUAGCGCCUAAUGGACAGAUAUUAGUUCAGAAACACUUUAUAACUAAGUGGCCAUAGAGGCAGGCCUGAAGCCUAUUUUCAUUUUCUGUUUCAGUUUCUGAAUCUGUUCUUAUUUAGUCUUCCCUUAAAGGCUAUCUGGCGCCUCCGUGAUGCUUAAUCAGGACAAGCUUGCAGAUGGGUACAGGUUGCAGGCCCUUGCCUCUCUUCCCUUAACCCCACAGCAGCCAGUAAACCACCUGGACACAGAAAGAGACCCACAUAUUCUCUAAAAUGCCUGAAUGGAACAAUCUAGAAUCUAAGCAUUCCUUAUAGGAACAGAGACUACUGUAAGAUGCGGGAUAGUAAGAAGGCAGCCUAGACUCUUCAAAAGGACAAUGUUUUAAAAAAAAUGAAGUGGAGGGAUGAUUCAAGAUUAAAAGAGAGUGAAGAAAUGAGGCCAACCAGAUGCAGUGUACAGACUUGGGCCACAGUGGGGGAGGUGACAGCAGACGGUUUGGUGGGAAGGAACGCACCAGAGCCCCAUGGGCCUGCCUGGCCAGCUCGCUUGGUCAUCCUGGUAAAACAGCAGAGCUCUCUGUUCCAAGAGGCCCACGCGCAGCCCCACAUGCCUGCUGAUCUGUGUACACACGUGUGUGCACUCUAGCAAGCCUCACUUUAAUUGUGAAGAAACAUGGGAACCGGUGCUCCCACCCGGGCUGUGGGAGUGUGGUGCGGUGGGGCCUGGACACGGGGAGGGUCCGAAGUGGGGCCAGCUCCCUGGAGUCAGGCAUGUCUGUCUCAAGCUGCCCCUGUCCCUUGCUGAAUGGGAACCCCCACCAGCUGCCUCGGGAGCCCGUGUCCUUACACUCUAUUCGGAUCUGCUCCAGCUCCGUCACCUCAGCAAUGGACUCCUUCAGGUCCUCCACGAACUUCUGCAUCUCGUCCGAGCCCAGGGCACAGAAAUGCAGCACCUGCUUCUUCUCGGAGCCCGAGAGCGGGGUCACCAGUGUGAUGCCAUGAGAGUAAUCUGGAAAGCAGACCCCAGGCCCCCAGUGGGCUGUGAGCAGCAGCAGCCGAGGGCCAGAGCCAGCCAGACAUGAGGAGGGCACGGGGUCUCAUGCCUCCACCCACUCUGCUGUCCAGCCCUUCUCCCUCAACUCGCCCCAGCCAUUUCAUCCAUUCAUUCCUUCUCAAAGACUUACACUGGCUGUCAAAGACUUACACUCGUUCUCAAAGAGCUGGAACUGCAUGCCCAGCAGGCCAACUGACUUGCAAAAGGUGUACGUGGAGGAGCUCUUCUUCUUCGGGCAAAGUUUGAGAAUCUGUUCAGGAGAGGGAAACAGGCAUGCCCUGAUGAACAGACACUCACGGACACAUGGAUGCACAAACACCCGGGGGAUGCACGAUCACACAAACCCACGCAGUGAUGAAUGUGCACAUACAGCUUCUGUGAGCUGAGCCCUGGAGAUACAGGAGAACUCAGGACAGAGCCCCUGCCCUUAAGGUGCUUAUGGAAUGUGGAGUGUCACAGUGUC